UGUCUGAACCUUCGGGGAACGAUAACGGCGUCGAGCGGCGGACGGGUGAGUAAUGCCUGGGAAAUUGCCCUGAUGUGGGGGAUAACCAUUGGAAACGAUGGCUAAUACCGCAUAAUAGCUUCGGCUCAAAGAGGGGGACCUUCGGGCCUCUCGCGUCAGGAUAUGCCCAGGUGGGAUUAGCUAGUUGGUGAGGUAAUGGCUCACCAAGGCGACGAUCCCUAGCUGGUCUGAGAGGAUGAUCAGCCACACUGGAACUGAGACACGGUCCAGACUCCUACGGGAGGCAGCAGUGGGGAAUAUUGCACAAUGGGCGCAAGCCUGAUGCAGCCAUGCCGCGUGUAUGAAGAAGGCCUUCGGGUUGUAAAGUACUUUCAGCAGUGAGGAAGGUGGUAUCGUUAAUAGCACUAUCGUUUGACGUUAGCUGCAGAAGAAGCACCGGCUAACUCCGUGCCAGCAGCCGCGGUAAUACGGAGGGUGCGAGCGUUAAUCGGAAUUACUGGGCGUAAAGCGCAUGCAGGUGGUCUGUUAAGUCAGAUGUGAAAGCCCGGGGCUCAACCUCGGAAUUGCAUUUGAAACUGGCAGACUAGAGUACUGUAGAGGGGGGUAGAAUUUCAGGUGUAGCGGUGAAAUGCGUAGAGAUCUGAAGGAAUACCGGUGGC
RNAcentral lists this ribosomal RNA (659 nucleotides) under Vibrio tubiashii. RNAcentral describes it as "bacterial SSU rRNA". It matches the Rfam family "Bacterial small subunit ribosomal RNA", at positions 72 to 716 of the family's 1533-position model. Lineage: Bacteria; Pseudomonadati; Pseudomonadota; Gammaproteobacteria; Vibrionales; Vibrionaceae. The record is from RNAcentral.